Molecule: ribosomal RNA, 275 nt
Filed under: uncultured bacterium
Lineage: Bacteria
Description: partial 16S ribosomal RNA
Rfam family: Bacterial small subunit ribosomal RNA
Source: RNAcentral
AAACUGGAGAUGGCGACCGGCGCACGGGUGAGUAACACGUAUCCAACCUGCCGAUAACUCGGGGAUAGCCUUUCGAAAGAAAGAUUAAUACCCGAUGGCAUAAUAGAACCGCAUGGUUUGAUUAUUAAAGAAUUUCGGUUAUCGAUGGGGAUGCGCUCCAUUAGGCAGUUGGUGGGGUAACGGCCCACCAAACCUUCGAUGGAUAGGGGUUCUGAGAGGAAGGUCCCCCACAUUGGAACUGAGACACGGUCCAAACUCCUACGGGAGGCAGCAUG